This 468-nucleotide ribosomal RNA is filed under the name uncultured bacterium. RNAcentral's name for it is "partial 16S ribosomal RNA". It matches the Rfam family "Bacterial small subunit ribosomal RNA", at positions 28 to 507 of the family's 1533-position model. The record is from RNAcentral.
GACGAACGCUGGCGGCGUGCUUAACACAUGCAAGUCGAACGGAAAGGCCCUGCUUUUGUGGGGUGCUCGAGGGGCGAACGGGUGAGUAACACGUGAGUAACCUGCCCUUGACUGUGGGAUAACUUCAGGAAACUGGGGCUAAUACCGGAUAGGAGCUCCUGCUGCAUGGUGGGGGUUGGAAAGUUUCGGCGGUUGGGGAUGGACUCGCGGCUUAUCAGCUUGUUGGUGGGGUAGUGGCUUACCAAGGCUUUGACGGGUAGCCGGCCUGAGAGGGUGACCGGCCACAUUGGGACUGAGCUACGGCCCAGACUCCUACGGGAGGCAGCAGUGGGGAAUAUUGCACAAUGGGCGGAAGCCUGAUGCAGCAACGCCGCGUGCGGGAUGACGGCCUUCGGGUUGUAAACCGCUUUCGCCUGUGACGAAGCGUGAGUGACGGUAAUGGGUAAAGAAGCACCGGCUAACUACGUG